This 235-nucleotide ribosomal RNA is filed under the name uncultured bacterium. Its description in RNAcentral is "partial 16S ribosomal RNA". It matches the Rfam family "Bacterial small subunit ribosomal RNA", at positions 18 to 235 of the family's 1533-position model. The record is from RNAcentral.
AUCAGCUCAGGAUGAACGCUGGCGGCGUGCUUAACACAUGCAAGUCGAGCGAAGCACUUAGGAAAGAUUCUUCGGAUGAUUUCCUAUUUGACUGAGCGGCGGACGGGUGAGUAACGCGUGGGUAACCUGCCUCAUACAGGGGGAUAACAGUUAGAAAUGACUGCUAAUACCGCAUAAGACCACAGCACCGCAUGGUGCAGGGGUAAAAACUCCGGUGGUAUGAGAUGGACCCGCG